GAAGAUCUUCGCCAGGUGAGAAUAAUAAUCACUCAGUUGUCCCUCCCUGCUGCCGUACAGUCAAGAUGGCAGCGAAGAUAAACAAAACCGGGGAUUUAUUCAUUAUUUAUUCAUCUUGUAUCGCGUCUAAUUUUACUGGAUUAUCAACAUAUCGGUUCAUCUGUCUGAAUGGACGUGAGCAGCAGUGAAUGAAACCGAUCUUCAUUUGUUCCUUUAAAAACCCUCCGAGGCGUCCGACUCAUCGCAGGACAGGGAGGCAGGAAGAGGAGUGAAGGAGGAGGAGGAGGAGGAGGGGAGGAAACAGGAUGAAGACAGGAAGGACGGAGCUGGACAGGACAGGGUGGGAUUGAGAGAUGAAAACCUCACAGGAAUAGAGACAAAUGGGAGGAACAGGAAGGAGAGCUGUAAAGAGAGAACAUGGAGGAUUUGCUGAGCAUGCUUUUUUUUUUUUUUUUUUUCAGCAGCACUCAUUGAUCCUCUCUGUCCGUCUACGUGGAUCCUACUGAUUCAUUUUUAAUGAGAGCCUUUUUUAAUGAUGUCCAGAGGAUUUGUCAGCCUCUGUCAGAUUUCCGUUUCCUUUGAUUGACGAACAGAUCAAAUUAAAACUGUGGGUCUGUUUCCAUGUAUCCUGUAUCAUCAUUUUGUUUGAAAACUCAUCAUCAAAGGUUUACAUAAACAUAUAUAAUAUAUGGAGAAAGUGUGGUAUAAUAUUGAGAUGAACUAUAUUACAAUAUACAAGUGUCCACAACAACAAUUAAAUAUAAUUUAUGGCAAUCAAACAUCACUGAAAAAAAAGACCUGGGAAAAAUUCACAGGUCACAAAAAUAUAAAAUAAAAUCUAUGUUCACAAGAUAAUGGAAUUGAAUGCACAGAUUAUGUGGGAGGUGUUUUUUUUUAUCAAAGUAAAUUAAAAAUUAAAGUUA
Long non-coding RNA from Sebastes umbrosus (honeycomb rockfish), 923 nucleotides. RefSeq lists it as uncharacterized. The record is from RefSeq and is a predicted model, not a curated record. The transcript is spliced from 3 exons. NCBI's taxonomy places the organism in Eukaryota, Metazoa, Chordata, Actinopteri, Perciformes, Sebastidae.